GGGAGCGGAUGAGGUCCGGUGGCCUCCGCGGUCUUCAAAACCGUUGUUUCGUGUAACAGCGAUGGGAAGGUUCGACUCCUUCGCGUUCCCGCCA
This is a transfer RNA of 94 nucleotides. It matches the Rfam family "Selenocysteine transfer RNA".